ACGCUUUGAUUUUCCUGUACUUCUCAAACUGUAUUUGCCGCCGCGAAACGGCGAUUCUGAACAAAUCGCAGCGAUCGUCAUUGCCGGAAGAAAAUAUUGCCAGUGCUAAUUUCACUAUCUUCAACUCCUCCCUCUUCUGCUCAUCGAUCUCCUCUUUUCAGUCUCUAAAACUAGCUCUAACACGCAUCUUUUCCGCACAAUCUCGGCAAUCCUCGCCACUGCAAGAAAACGUUGAAGGCGAUCUCUCCAUUCACCUCUUUAUUUACUUAUAUUCAUCGUCGAGAAAAAUCUGGGACGACAGCAUCUUCCCUCUCUCAGAUAUGAAUAGAUUUUUGAUAGUUGUAAGUCUAGGUUUUUAUUCUUAAGAAGGUUAGCUUUAGGAUUAGGAUUUAGGGUUUAUUUUUUAACGAAUUAGGAUUUAGGGUUUAUUUUUUAACGAAUUAGGAUUUUGGCGAUAUGCGAUGCAGAUUCUGAAAAACAGAGAAAGCCACAUUGGUAUAAACUUAGGACUGUGGUUUUGCAGGAAAUUAGAAAAUUUCAGAAAUCAACAUAUUUGCUGAUACCAAUCAUCAAGCACUCCAUCCAUCUAAAAUGUGAGUACUUCAUGUGUUUGUCCAACACCUAUCCUUAAUUUAUGAUAUUUCUUGCCAAGAAAUAAAAUCUGUUUGUUCAUUUGAUUGAUUUUCGCUGUUGAUUUAUAAACUUAGCCAGUUUAUAUUACUUAUAUUUGUCUCUGAUCAAACUAUAUUUAUCAAUAUUCUUUUAGCUCCGAUCAAAUUCUCUGCACUUUUCCAAUUUUAUUCUUUUAAUAAUAUUUAGCUUCUUAGAUUUAGUCAACUCAUCAUAUACAAUCUUUAAAUCUGUGGUGUGGCUUGAAUGAUUAGUUACAAUAUUUUGAUUUUCGCCCAUUGCAUUGUCUUUUCAACACGUAGUAAUCCUUUCCUCCUCACCACAAAGUUGGCAGAAGACUUAAAAGUAAAAAAACCUUGAUGAUCCUAAACAGAUUAGCUCUCACUGUGUGUGUGUUUUUUUACCAACUUUGAAUUCACAUGGUAAUGUAUUAACUAGUAUGUGAGAAUAUAGUAUUAUUAUUUCAAAAAAAAUAUGAUCCUUUGGAUUUUUUAGGGGUUUUGGCAUUUGGGAUUACUAUUUUUAGCUUAAUUGAUAUAUUGUUUUUUUUUUGUUGAAAUUAAUGUUAAAAAUAGGCUAGGGAAAUCACUCAAAUAUAUGCAACAGAAGUCAACAGAUGGACUCCUGAAGCAUUACUGCCAUUACAAUUUACAAGUGGUGAGUUCUUAUUUUACAAUAAAAACUUAGAAUCUUGAAUCUUGAUAUGAUUUGGCUUACUACUCCCUCAGGCCUCAACCAAUUGAAUGAGAGCCAUUUAUAUAAGGUAUAGAGCAACAAAAAGAAUGAACGAUAUAGUAUUACAUUUGUAGCUAUUUUCCUUAUUAAUGAUCAGGCAAAUGCAAGGAGGUCACUUAAAUUUAGUAGAUCACCGGAAAAUUCAAGAAUUUUAGCUUAUGUUCACUUUAAUCAGCAUAAAGCAACUAUGUUCACUUCAAUCAGCAUAAAAUCCUUAUUUCGUUGUUCGCGAAAUAUGCUAUAUUUUUAUAAAGUGCUUGCAAGUAGGGGUGAGAACGGAGCAGGUCGGGGUAGAUAUUCUGUCCCUUUUUUAUUUUUCUGUCCCCGAAGCAGGUCUCGGGGCAGGGCAAAACCCAGGCGGGUCGCCCGAGUUUAAAAAAUAUAUUAUAUUAUACUAUAUUAGAUAUAGAUUAUUAGGAUUAUGAAUUUAUUAUAUUUUUAUCUAUGUGAUUAUGUCUAUUUUAGAUUUAUUUUUUAUUUUUACUUUUAAAAAUUAUGGUAAAAAAUUUACCCAUUUUAAAUUUUAAGCUUACUCUUUUAAUUAUUUUUUUAUCAUUUUUUUAUAAUUCCAGGGCUUGUCGUUCCGUUUCGCGCCCCGGUCACUAGGUCCGGGACAGGGUAUAUGGGCACUUGACCCGUCCCGGCAAAACAGGACGGAUACCGGGAUAGGGCCGCCUACGACCCGUUCUCAUCACUACUUCCAAGUUCCGUUUAUCUGAAAAUUGCUCUAUUUUUUAUGUUUGAUGUGCAGUGAAGAAAGAUCUUGAGCUGAAAUCUUGAUCUUGAGGAAAGAAUAG
This 2162-nucleotide long non-coding RNA is filed under the name Zostera marina. Its description in RNAcentral is "long non-coding RNA (ZMAR_LNC001639)". Lineage: Eukaryota; Viridiplantae; Streptophyta; Magnoliopsida; Alismatales; Zosteraceae. The record is from RNAcentral.